RNAcentral lists this long non-coding RNA (4603 nucleotides) under Homo sapiens (human). RNAcentral's name for it is "HSALNT0114993". Lineage: Eukaryota; Metazoa; Chordata; Mammalia; Primates; Hominidae. The record is from RNAcentral.
UUGAAGUUUAUUACAAACUUUAUUGGAAAAACUGAGUAACAACAUACUGUUCAAUGUCACAGUUUUUUUAAAAAAGAAUAUAGGCGUCUUGAAAAAGAGGCAAUGAUAAACACAUUUAACCUGUUGGUGCCUACUGAGCUGUAAGUCAAGCCAUGAAAUCUCAGGACCCUGGGAGCCUGUGAAGGAUGUCUGGAAUCACAUUCUGGCUACAUCACAAAUUAAGUAUUGACUUAAGGUGAUUAUUUAAUAUCUCUAAGCCUCAGUUCCUUAUCUGCCAAAAAAAAAAGGAGAGCGAUAUAUCAUUUCUCAGGGUUAUCAUGGAAAUUAAAAUAGAUAUUUUGUUUAAAAAAAUGUUUACUGCAAUGACUAGCACACAGGAAGCCUAAUAAUAAUUUGUUGGUAGACACACUGCAAACUGUUGACCACAGAUAUGACCACGCAUUCCUGUUCAUCUGAACCACAUUCAGUAACCUAUGUUAUGUAAUCCAAACAGCGAGAUGCGCUGUUUAUAUAAACAGCUGACUUCUUCUCUCUCCUGGAGGCCACCCCAUGGCAAUCAUAUCACAAUCUUCCCUGGGGCUGGGCCAGUGACCCAGGAAGGGGAUGAUUUGAUUCACCUGCUGGAAAGGAGGCAAGUUUUGUCCUUUUUGUUUUCAGUUUUUCUCUGUCUUUUGCCACUUUGCAGUUCAUUUCCUUUCAUCCUGGCUUAUCUCCUUUAUCUAUCUUUCCUCUUUCGGUCUAAUCCAUUCAUUACCCUCUAAUUUCCUAAUUAUGGCUUGUAAGCAUAAGAAUAGUACUAAGGACACCCCUGUUUUAGAGGAAAAAACUAUCAAUGUAACAAAACCCUGUGCCAUCAUCAUAAAUUCUUCAAAAGGGCCAAGCUAAUCUCUCUGGAUUAUUGCCAAAGUCUCCAUCUCUUGUCCCCCUUCCCCUAAUCUCUCUCUUUUUUUCCUAAUUAAUAAACUUUUCUCUUCAAAUAUCAAUAUGCAAGGUAAAAUAAAACAUUUAAAACCUAAUUCAUUAAAGCAUUAUUGGGUUUAUUCUCUGUUUUAUCUAUUUAUUCUGAAGCUUUCAUCCUUUGAUUCAGUAAAACCACAGUGGGAACUAAAGGGUCAAGGGAACAUCACUAUGCUGCAGGCAUUGACCCGAGCCAGCUCAAGGAACUCAGUCUUGUUGGAAAGGCGGUGACAAUGCAGAAUGACAUGUUCUUUAGUUCUUUAGUAGAAAUUAGCGCUGGCAAGUAGCGAAGGUCUAGUGGAUGCCAGGUGUGGUGGGUUAUUACUUUCUCUUUUAAGAAAAGUAUUUUCAAAGUCUCCUUUGAGAUAGGUUUGUGGAUUAGAAACCAUAUGUGAAAUAUGAGCUGCAUUACAGAAAUGGUAGAUAGUUUAGCAGCUGGCUGGCUAACUAGACCCAAAGGAUAUUAAUGAAUAGUCAGGUUAACCUAAAUGGAUUCCUAGUGGUGGACCACAGGACUCUGAGGCCUUGUCUUAUGCAUCUUUUGUAUCAGUGGUUUAAAUAAAGCCAGAAAAGACAUACUCAUAAAUGUAUACAGAAGUUACACACCUGCCAGAAACGGCUAAUUCAAAAGGUGAUGGAAUCAGGACUUAAAGUGAUCUCAGGAUGUUGAGACAUUGCAUCAAAAUAAAUCAGAUCCAAUUUAAAAGGAAGGAGGGCCCCAUUUAUGAUUGCACUGUUGUGAAUAUUAUUAUUUGUGCGAUGUAUAUGAAUUUCUUUUCCUGCAGCCAAGGGAUCCCAAACUAAGGCAACUGAUAAAAUGUAAUAACAUUUGUGCUAGUUAAUGUGGGUUUCUUUUCUUGCAACCAAGGGAUUCCAAAUUUAAGACAACUGAUAACAUCAACUGCUCAGGGGCCUAAUCUCAGGGGAACUGCAGAGCUACGAGGGAGGGGCUUGGGGGAGCAGGUUUGGACUCUAGGUCCUGGUCUGUUCUCAUCACAGCUUAGGCAAGGGCAGUGUGCUAAUUAAUUUUGUUUUAAGUAAAAAAGUGACAUAAAUAAAAUUCAAAACCAGAAAAGAACAUAUGUUGACUAUCAUACUUACAAAUUCCAGAGAAAAACCCACUUCUGUCAUAGCUGGAGCCAAGUGCUCAGUGCAGGCAGGAAUCUGCCUCUCUCAAUCUCUUGACUUUCAUUUCCUGCAUUAGUCUUUCUUAGAUAGGUUCUUACCAAAUGGUAGCAAGCAUAGCCCUCACCUGCGAUGUACAUUCUAUUAACUUAGCAGAACCAGAGCCCCAUCAGAAUAAAAAUCCCUUUCUUAUUAGUUCCAGCAGAGUCCUAGAGUGGGGUCUCAUUCACCUGGCUUGGCUCACAUCCCUGAACCAAUUGGGGUGAGUGGCCUCACACAGGCCAUGUGCCCACUCCUGGUUUGGAGGGUGUAGCGGAAGCAGAUGGGAUUAUAUCUAUCUAAGCCCCAUAAGGUAGGUUUCCACAUGAAUGAGGAAUCCUAUGAAUAGAAAGGGAGAAAAAUGGAUACUAGACCGGCAAGUAUAACAGGUGUCCACCAUGGAGGGAAUAUUCCCAUUUUCAUGAUACUAAUGUGAGAAAUGGUUAGAAGAGCUAUAAAAGAUGUCCACCAUGGAGGGAAUGUUCCUAUUUUCAUGAAACUAAUUAAGAAGACUGGGUGAAAAAUGGUGAGAAGAGCUACAGAUGAGAAAAUGAAGAGGCAGCGUGAGAGCAGCUUUGUGGCAUGUGAGAUCACAUGCCUCAUCUAUGGUGAGGGUUAGCUGCAGAAUGGGAUGAGGCUUGAGGAGGAAAUAAAAACAAGGAGCUCAAGACAGUGUUCACAAGAAGGACCCACCCCUAUCAUGUGGUGCUCAGAACAUGCUUUGGAAUUGGACAAAGUGGCUCAAAGGGUCAGUGGUGGAUUACAGAGGAACAGUGGAUAAGUCAUGGAUGAAAAGGAGAAAUAAAAGGCAGAAGAAUCAAAGUAUAAUUACACAUGCUGGUUUGCUCAAUAAAUCCAAACAUAUUCAAGUACUGCCUGUAAGAGUGAAGAGUUCUUUGUAUGGAAGAGGGCACUGACUUUUGGUUUUUUUAUAUUCAGAGGACAGAAAUGAGCACUGGGUAGAAGAUUCCAGAAGGCCAACUUUAGUUCAGUAUAUAAAAAAACUUUAAAAUAACUCAAAUUGUCCAACAACGGCUCAAGCAUUGAGCAAGCUCUCCCCAAAGAGCAGAAUGGAACAGGAAUUCUCAUUGAUGAAGAACCUCUCCCUGGGUGAGAAGCUGAGUGAGACAGCCACCAAGAUAUCUAUUUUAUCUUUAAAGUCCUCAAGGUCCUCUCGUUCUUUAAUGUUUACAUGAUAUGCCAGUCAUCCGAUGCUCUACCUGGACAGCCUCAUUGGAAUCUGGCUACUUCAACCUUCUUGUUGCUGGAAAGGCCUAGGUAGCUUCUGUGCAGUUGUUUUGUGUUUCUUGACUGAAGUUUAAGCACGAAGAAGUCUCAGAUAUGCACCCUGUGGCCUGAUCUGGAGGUUUCUAUUUACAAACACUUCGAUCGCAUUAUGACUGGGUGAAGCUGAUUAAGAGGAAGGGAGAACAAGUUUAUGUUCUGCAAUGAGCAAAUCUGGCGAGCCUGCAAAAUUUUGUAAUGAAUGUUUCUUUAAACCACUUUAUGGUCUCUGAAUGAUGAUAAUGAUGAUGAUAAUGAUUAUAAUGUCAAUUUAUUCCAUGCUUACUCCUACCAAUAGCUAACAUUUAUUGCUAUUACUAAAAUAGCUGACAGCAAGUACCAGAAACAAUUCUAAGUACUUUACAUGUAUUUUCUCAUUUAAUACUCACAAGAUCCCUAUGAGGCAGGUACUGUAAUUACUGUCAUCUCAUCUAUAUUAGAGAUGAGCAGAUGAAGGCACAGAGUCUAAUAACUUGCCCAGGGUCAUAGAGUUGUAAGUAGCAAUACUGGGAUGUGCCACAAAUGUUUUCAUAAAUGUUAUCUUCUUUAGAUUAUACAACAGCCCUAUGAAGAAGGUAUAAAUAGUUCCAUUUUGUAAAUGAUGAAAAUGGAUACCAAUAAAUUUCUUGCCCAAGGUCCCAUCACUCAGCUGGCAAGUAGUGAAUCAGAAUUCGAGUCAAUCUGCCUGUAAAACUUGUGUUUGACUGCCUCCCAUAUCCCCAAAUUCAGAACAUUAAAUGCACCUUCUAAAGUGGUUCUGGCCUCUGGUGUGAACUCUUUCUUCUUUGGGGAAGAUUCUGCCACACUGUCCUCUCUGGAGCAUAGCUGGUGGCAUCAAGUGCCCAUGGAGCUCUUCCUGGGUUCCAGAGAGUGGCAAGGAAAUCCUCAGACUUUCUCUCCUGCUCUGUCUCAAGACUGAACUUCCUUGGGAGAUACCACAGUUCUCUGACCCCUGGUCUCUGGGUUUUCAGGUAGUCUCCCAAGAGUGGUGUUUCUUCACUUUUCUACUGCCAAGGACCAUUAGAAGGAGCCAAGGGUCAUUGCCCAGGUGACAUGUCCCGUUUUCCUGUGUUCUCUUCCGUGGAGAUAUCGGCUCUACUGUAUACAAGCAAUCUUAUUCCCUUCAUGUCACCCCGUCCAAACUUAAUUCACAUGCCUCAUCUGUGGUGAGGGGGUUAGCUGCAGAGUGGGAUGAGGC